GAUAAACGCUGGCGGCGUGCAUUAGACAUGCAAGUCGAACGAACGACCUCGGGCUUGCCCGGGGAAGUUAGUGGCGAACGGCUGAGUAACGCGUAGGUGACCUGCCCUAGAGUGGGGAAUAACUGCCCGAAAGGGUGGCUAAUACCGCAUAUGGUCAUGAGUUCAUUCUCAUGUCCAAAGCCUUCGGGCGCUCUUGGAGGGGCCUGCGUUCGAUUAGCUCGUUGGUGAGGUAACGGCUCACCAAGGCGACGAUCGAUAGGUGGUCUGAGAGGAUGAUCACCCAGACUGGGACUGAGACACGGCCCAGACAACUACGGUUGGCAGCAGUCGGGAAUUUUGCUCAAUGGGGGAAACCCUGAAGCAGCAACGCCGCGUGAGGGAUGAAGGCCUUCGGGUUGUAAACCUCUUUUCUUAGGGACGAUAAUGACGGUACCUGAGGAAUAAGCCACGGCUAACUACG
RNAcentral lists this ribosomal RNA (460 nucleotides) under uncultured Chloroflexota bacterium. RNAcentral's name for it is "bacterial SSU rRNA". It matches the Rfam family "Bacterial small subunit ribosomal RNA", at positions 28 to 505 of the family's 1533-position model. Lineage: Bacteria; Bacillati; Chloroflexota. The record is from RNAcentral.